AAGUCGUAACAAGGUCUCCGUAGGUGAACCUGCGGAGGGAUCAUUACAGAGUUCAUGCCCUUCGGGGUAGAUCUCCCACCCGUGUCAUCACACCUUUGUUGCUUUGGCGGGCCCGCCUCGGCCACCGGCUCCGGCUGGUGAGCGCCCGCCAGAGGACCCCAAACUCUGAAAUUUAGUGUCGUCUGAGUACUAUAUAAUAGUUAAAA
RNAcentral lists this unclassified non-coding RNA (206 nucleotides) under plant metagenome. RNAcentral describes it as "partial contains small subunit ribosomal RNA and internal transcribed spacer 1". The stretch from base 1 to 46 matches the Rfam family "Eukaryotic small subunit ribosomal RNA", at positions 1786 to 1831 of the family's 1831-position model. The record is from RNAcentral.